RNAcentral lists this ribosomal RNA (497 nucleotides) under uncultured bacterium. RNAcentral's name for it is "partial 16S ribosomal RNA". It matches the Rfam family "Bacterial small subunit ribosomal RNA", at positions 28 to 507 of the family's 1533-position model. The record is from RNAcentral.
GACGAACGCUAGCGGCGUGCCUAACACAUGCAAGUCGAGCGAACAGACCAGGAUUUUGCGCGGCUGACGUUAGCGGCGGACGGGUGAGUAACAUGUGUAUAACCUACCUAUAAGACUGGUAUAAUUUCGGGAAACCGGCGCUAAUAGGGGAUAAUAUAUUGAACCGCGUGGGUCAAUAGUGAGAGUAGGUUUUUCUGGAAGUUAUAGCUGGAUCCGGGCCGCAUUAGCUAGUUGGUAAGGUAACGGCUUACCAAGGCUAGUACGCGUAGCCGGCCGCAGGGGGAGGUCGGCCACCCUGGAAGAGAGGCAGGGUCCACACUCCUGCGGUAGGACACAGUCGGGAAUCCUACGCAAUGGAGGAAAGGCUGACGGAGCAACGCCGCGUGAGUGAUGACGGUGUCCGGCUCGGUAAACUCUGUUAUUAGUGGAAAACAAAUAUGUAAGUACCUAUGCACAUAUUGACGGUACCUGGUCAGAAAGCCCCGGCUAACUACGUG